RNAcentral lists this ribosomal RNA (254 nucleotides) under Escherichia coli. RNAcentral describes it as "partial 16S ribosomal RNA". It matches the Rfam family "Bacterial small subunit ribosomal RNA", at positions 1 to 251 of the family's 1533-position model. The record is from RNAcentral. Lineage: Bacteria; Pseudomonadati; Pseudomonadota; Gammaproteobacteria; Enterobacterales; Enterobacteriaceae.
AAAUUGAAGAGUUUGAUCAUGGCUCAGAUUGAACGCUGGCGGCAGGCCUAACACAUGCAAGUCGAACGGUAACAGGAAGAAGCUUGCUUCUUUGCUGACGAGUGGCGGACGGGUGAGUAAUGUCUGGGAAACUGCCUGAUGGAGGGGGAUAACUACUGGAAACGGUAGCUAAUACCGCAUAACGUCGCAAGACCAAAGAGGGGGACCUUCGGGCCUCUUGCCAUCGGAUGUGCCCAGAUGGGAUUAGCUUGUUG